GCCAGUGCAAUGUAGUGGUUUGGGUUUUGGACUAUGACUCUGAAGACCAGGGUUCAAUUCCCAGCUUGGCCA
Molecule: transfer RNA, 72 nt
Filed under: Phrynosoma platyrhinos (Desert horned lizard)
Lineage: Eukaryota; Metazoa; Chordata; Lepidosauria; Squamata; Phrynosomatidae
Description: tRNA-OTHER
Source: RNAcentral